Molecule: long non-coding RNA, 488 nt
Filed under: Olea europaea (common olive)
Lineage: Eukaryota; Viridiplantae; Streptophyta; Magnoliopsida; Lamiales; Oleaceae
Description: long non-coding RNA (OEUR_LNC010091)
Source: RNAcentral
GAGAUCUUUUAGUGAAAUAUUAUUGUUUAGUUUUGCUAGAUACUCAUUCAGUAAAUAAAGGCCAGAGAUAUAUCUUCGAACACAAAAUAGGUCGAUUACUUGAAUUUUCUUAUUCACUUAUUUGAGGCCUGUAAAUAGCUUACAUUCAAAUGACUCGAUUUAUUACUCAUCUUGUCCAAUUAUAAUAUGUAUUUUAUGUGUGGAUUUUAUUUGAUGUUUAUUUAACGUGAUAGUUCGUAACAUGGCUACAACAAUGAAUCAACAUCAAUGCGAAUGACAACAUUUAGGUUUAUUUUAGACGAUGGUCAUACAAGCGAUUGUGAUAUAUAAUGAUAUUAGGCAUCGUGAACAACGUCUCCCUAGAGCUCCUCAUAGAAAUUGGGAUUCCGAAAGAGAUAUGACACUUAAAUAAAUGUUUGACACGAGUGACUGUCGUGAUCUACUUAGGAUGAUAAUAGUCUGUUUCAAAGAUUAUGGGCUCGUUUGCG